UCGGACUGUAGUCUGNAACCCGACUACACGAAGCUGGAAUCGCUAGUAAUCGCGAAUCAGAAUGUCGCGGUGAAUACGUUCCCGGGUCUUGUACACACCGCCCGUCACACCAUGGGAGUCGGGAAUGCCCGAAGUCAGUGACCCAACCUAUUGGAGGGAGCUGCCGAAGGCAGGUCUGAUAACUGGGGUGAAGUCGUAACAAGGUACC
RNAcentral lists this ribosomal RNA (208 nucleotides) under uncultured bacterium. Its description in RNAcentral is "partial 16S ribosomal RNA". It matches the Rfam family "Bacterial small subunit ribosomal RNA", at positions 1293 to 1500 of the family's 1533-position model. The record is from RNAcentral.